This 72-nucleotide transfer RNA is filed under the name Takifugu rubripes (torafugu). It matches the Rfam family "tRNA". From Rfam's summary of the family: Transfer RNA (tRNA) molecules are approximately 80 nucleotides in length. Their secondary structure includes four short double-helical elements and three loops (D, anti-codon, and T loops). Lineage: Eukaryota; Metazoa; Chordata; Actinopteri; Tetraodontiformes; Tetraodontidae. The record is from Rfam by way of RNAcentral. RNAcentral also lists the same sequence under 2 other names.
GCUUUGGUGGUGUAGCUGUGAUCAUAGCAGCUUCCCAGGCAGCUGAUCUGGGUUCAAAUCCUGGCCAAUGCA